Molecule: long non-coding RNA, 528 nt
Organism: Bactrocera dorsalis (oriental fruit fly)
Lineage: Eukaryota; Metazoa; Arthropoda; Insecta; Diptera; Tephritidae
Exons: 2
Source: RefSeq, a predicted model, not a curated record
GAAGACCUCCACUCCGUUGGAAGGACCAAGGGGAGAAGGACCUGGCUUCGCUUGGAAUAUCCAAUUGGCGCCACGUAGCGAAGAGAAGAAACGACUGGCGCGCUGUUGUUGACUCGGCUAUAAUAGCGAUAUCACCCGCAUAUAGGUGCGCUGCUCGUGGUGAAAACCAUUUGGUACUAGGCUACUUUGAUGCGCAUCAUGAUCUUUGGCAUUCCUGCCUGUCAAAUGAUCGUAUAGGGAUGGAGCUGGGGGAACAGAUUGACGUUCUGUACAAUGAAUGGCGAAGCACCCACCAGUUAUGGGCACCUGCGAUAGCUCGCCCGAUAUUAUCAUUGCUAGGGUCGGUCUGAUAAAUAGCAUAACCUGGCGACAUAUUCUAACUCUCGCAUCAGACCAUCGUACCUUCGUUAACUUUAACAAAGCUGUUGUUGUUGUUGUUGUAGCGGCAGAGUUCUGCCGAGUUGACAGUCCUUGGCCGGAUAAAAAUCCAGGUCCGUUCCGGUUACGUAGACCCGACUGUCGUGGGAA